Molecule: long non-coding RNA, 5524 nt
Organism: Cyprinus carpio carpio
Lineage: Eukaryota; Metazoa; Chordata; Actinopteri; Cypriniformes; Cyprinidae
Source: Ensembl
UUUUAAUGAGCUGUAAUUAAGGAAUUUCUGUGUUAUUAGAGUUAUACAGUUUACUAAGUCUACAGUGUACUUGCUAAUAAAAAUUUAGCAUAGCAGUUUAACUUAGGUCAUGUGCAAAGUUUGUCAUUUACAGAUACUUUAUUAAUUUUUUUAAUAAGUGAUCAAUAUUAUUCGCCUUAUGCCUUAAGAAAAAUACAGUGUAUUCAAUAUAUUAAAUGUUAAUAAAUAUAACCGAUUUAAUGUAGACAUUCAAGAAAUCCCUUACAUAAAGGACCUUACAUAUGUAGGACUAUGUUAUACAGCAUUUCCUACUGUGUUGUUGUCAGUGCUGCAAUUGAGCAUCUUAACAGCUUAUGGAGGUCCCUAGGCUCUAGGGGAGAAAUGAUGCCCCAACCCCUGCCCUGCAUAAUAAAUUAUAAUAAAAGAUCCAUUAAAAUUACACUGAAAGCCACACACAAACAUGAUGCACACAAACAGCACAAUUAAAUUAUACAGUAAAUAAAAUCAACUGUGAGAUCUUAUUUAAGAAUGCUUAGUUCAUCUAGUGGUAUGUCUUUUGCAAUGAUUGUGAGAGGCCUUGUUUGAACCUCAAAUUAACAAGUUGCGGAUGUUGCAUAUGCCAGGAUCAGCCAGUUUUCAAUAACACUUUCAUACUUUUAACGGUAAUAUCAAAUGGAUAGCAGACUUCUGUAACAUCAUCUUCUUUACAGACUUAACCGCAAUUAAUGUGGAAUCAUCAGUGUUACAGGGGCACUUCAAUUGUUCUAUUCUUUUUUUUCUUUUCUGACUGUUAAAGGAGCAGUAUGAAAUGAAAAAAAUUCAAACACCUGUGUUAAACAGUUGGGGUUCAGUUUCUUAGUUAACAGCUACUGACUAUAGAAUGUCUGUCAGGAAAAUAAUGUAUUGUAACUGACAUGCUGUGCUUUCAAAUGCCACAGUGAAUGAAACAGUCAAUAACCUACAGGAAGCAGGCCUCAAUAAAGGAAUGAUGUGAGAAUUCACCAUUUCAAAGACUCAAGAUCCAGAAAAUAUAUAUAAAAAACCUAAUGUACUGUAUUGUAUAUGAAUUCAUAAUGAAAUAAAAAAUUGCUAUCCUCAAACACUAAAGUAUUCAAAAAGCCCAUUAUAUUUAAUUUAUAACAAAAAAUAUGAAAUCAACAUGGUCUUACAUUUCUGAUAUAAUUAUAUUUCUUUCUAUUCAUAUCCAAUCUGGAUUUCUAGUUGUUUUUACAAUUUAGAUUGGCUUGACAGAGGCCUAAUGUUGCUGCAGCUUUGUAGUAGAAGACCCUAAACGUAGAACCCCCGCACUCCCCAAUUUAAAAGGUUCAGUAUAUGUAAACAUGAUGGAAUUGAACAACACAUAAUUCUCUCCUCUAAAGUUCUGUUUCUUCUGCAUCAUCACAAUUGUCAAGAUAGUAUUCAUCUUCGGUUGUGGUGUCAGAAUCAGACUCCUCAAAAACAGUCAAGCUGGUUGUGUAGCUCCUUGAUGACAGGAUUCCACGAGAAGGAGACAUAUUUUCUGGAGUUGUCCACAUGGGGGAAGACACAGAAGGUGCCUGGGACAUCCGCCGAGGUGAAGAGGACAUAGUUGGUGAUGGAGGUGGGGUUGGGUCUGCAUCAUAAUGAUCAAGAUCAAGAUCAUCUGUAUAUCCAGGUCCAGACUGUUUACCAGUGAUAGAUUUGGCAUCACAGACUGGAGAAUGGCUACUAUUCAUUGGAGAGUCAACUACUGUAUAAUUCCCCUUCGGCACAAAGUCAUCCAAACUUGAGAGGUCGCUGAUGCUGCUUGUUGAGAUUCGUCCAGGACCUGAUGGGCGGCUUGAAACCACACUGCUUACCGAGAAAGAUCGUCCAUUGUGUAGACCAUACUUUAAAUCAGCACACGACGAGGACAAGUGAGACCUCACAAGGUUUUGCUGCACGGGACUCUUGGUGGAGUUCAGAGAAGAGAAGUCAUCAGACUCACACAGUGAAUUUGUUUUUUUGCACACUGGACUAUAAAACACAUUGUCAUUCUGAAUGUCUUCUGAAUCAAAAUCAAACAAAUAAAAGGGUGAUGGGGGACCGACAGAGGAUUUUCUGUAAUGUGGCAAGGUGGCAGAACGAUUCAUACUUUGGGCCUUUAGCCUAUGUGGACUAAAGCUCCUACCAUAAGAGCGGUUUCCAUUUUCAUCGCUAUGCCUCUUUUGCUGAUGAACAUUUAACAUAUUCUCAGAUGAUUUAUUUAAUAUUAAUGGUGACAAGGACUCAAAAGAAGCCAAAGAUGCUUUAUCGGUGGUAAAAUAUGAGUUGGGGGCCUCCCAUGUGCACCCAGAACCCUUUUGUUCAGUUGUAGAUCUGUUUUGCCAAUUCAUAUUUUGAGUAUUCUCAGAUUUCUUUAAUGUAAGUGGUGACAAAGAUGCAAAAGAGGCUUUAUCAGUGGUCAAGAAUGAGUUGGGGGCCUCCCGUGUACUCCCAGAAUAAUUUAUUUCAGCCAUAGACUUAUUUUGUUCAUCCACAUUUAAUGUAUUCUGAGAUUCUUUUAAUGUUAGUAGUGACAAGGAAUUUAAAGUGGUUUUAUCAGUUGUUAAAGAGUAGUUAGAAGGUUCCGGGUGGCUCUCAGAACAUGUUUUGUCCUCUGUCUUGGGACUUUCAAAAGUCUCAGUAUCUGAGAGUUGCCGAGUGGGACUCUUGUUCUUUUUCGAUAGUGCGUCAAGUGAGCUGUCUGAAUGUUUGACACCAAAUGUCAGUUUCAAGCGAUUUAACAUCUGGUCAACCCUGCUGAUGGUUUUAAACACUGUUGAAUGUCUUUUGGUUUUUAAAUACUGGGGAUUAACAACCUCUUUGUCUGGCAUAGAAGCUGAAGAGCAGACAGCUUCUUUGUCUUUCUUAACUCGUGAACUAAAGAGGCCUUUUUUUGAAUUGGAACUUUGCAUUUCCUGCAGUCUCUCAUGCCUAUGCACAGUGGGAAUCUCUCUCUCAGCUAUCAGUGGAGUCUUAUUUUCUACUGUGCGCUUAUCAGGUAUUAAAUACUUCUCGUUCUCACUCAGCCUGUGCUUGGGGUAAGCAUUACCCUUAUCAAGCUGAAGUUCCAUCAAGCCAUCAUGCUCCUGAUGACAGAAGUUGUUAGAGCCUGUGCUGGGCUGCCUUGGGUGUGGGCUUAUAUUUGAGCUUUGGCUUUCCAUGAAAAAACUUGCAUCUGGUGCAGCUUGUAAGAGGCAUGGCUGGGCAGGUUUGUGAUUAUCUAGGGCGCUUGUAUGAUCUUGAACUGCUGUCCUCUGUUUUCUGUUAGGAGAAGCUAACUGUUCCUUUGGUCUUCUUAUUAUACUUGUGUAUGUGGACAGUGAAGAGAUUGGAUCAACUUUAAUGAAGUCUGCAGGAGUGGUUACAAUAUCAUAAGAUGUAGUUCGGGUAUGAGUUUUGGACACAGGUGGAGAGGAUAGUUCUUGUAAAGUGUUGUUGAGUGUAGGUCGUGAGGAGAUGAGGCUAGAAUAUGGAGAAGUGCUGAGACGAGGUGCUGAUCUUCGUCCAAAAUCAGGAGGCAGAGAUUGAGCUGGUGCUAUAUGAGAGCUGGAGCCAUAAGAGCUUCUUUGUAAUGCUUCUACCUGUGGUACAAAGUCAAAUGAAAAUCUUGAAGGAAGUGUUUUCCGGUCACCCUGUAGUGUUCCACCUCCAUUUUGCUCAGGAGGCAAUGUUUCACCUUUCUGUAUGUGGGAAGAAGGGGUAGAAGGGAAAGGGGUGGACAUAGCUGAGCUGGACUCCCUUAGGUAUGAAUAAAUGCUUGGUACUCUUACACUUCUGAGAGGUCUGCUUGGAGAAAGAAGGCUCGAAAGAUCCAUUGUGCUUUGACUUGACUGAGAAUAUUUCUUAGAGUCCAGAUAUAUCUGCCCCACAUUUGUGGGACUUGUUCCAUCUACAGAAGAGUCUUUCCUUGGUGAGUAGUUAAGCCUGUCUGUGAAGGUGCUUGUGCCUGAUGAACUACUGGCUAUUAUAUUGUGUGUACUUUGUGAUUUAAAUUUUUGAACAUUAAAGCCAGAUUGUUGAACAUUAAAAUUUGUUAAAACUUUGGGAGAAAAUGUGGUAUCUGGAGUUACUUUUUGUCUGGUCAUACUGGAGUUUUGCAGGUUGUUGUUGUUGGCAGCAUUUAGUUCCACUAGAUCUAUGUCCUCUGUACUGGAAUAUUUCCUCGAAAACACUGAAUAAGAGCUCUGUUGAGCUCUGAGAACCCCAAGUUGGCCGGUUUUGGUUGUGGACAUUGGGAAACGUUCCUCCUCUACUCUGGCAACAGAAGCUUCUAGUCUCUUUGAAAUUGCCGUCUCUGGUUUGUUUAGAAACAGUGAUUUCCUUAAUGGCACUCUACUCUUAAUUCCAUGUGAGAAAGGGAACUGACUGACUGGUAUUUCCUCUGUUCUUGCAGGAGUGUCUUUGGGGGUUUGGUCAUCAGCGGUAACAGAAUGGGCAAAUGACGGAGUUUUCAAAACAACUCUGCUAGGCAAUGUAAGGGACCUGACAGACCUAGUCAUCGGAGUCUGUGAUUGUGUGGGCUCAGCACUGGAGCUUCUCAAAUUUGACCUCCUCAAGGAAAGAAGUAGGGUGCUUGUUGUUGGCUUAGAGCUCAAUGAUUUGAAAGGCUGAUGUUCAUCUCCAGUUUUUGAUAUUCUGUACCCUGAAUGGGCCAAAUUUGGUACCUGAUGAGUGUCCAGAGGUGUGGGAAAAGGAUGCAAAUCUGUAUUAUUGUACAUCAUGCCCACAGAGGAGGAUUUAAUAAUGGGUCUCUUUGGCUGUAUUGUGGUUGUGAUGUUUGGGGAAUUGUUCUCUUUUUGCCAGUCAGGAGAGUUACAGCUGGUUCCUGCAGUCAACUGCAUGUCAUUGUCAUUGGCCAACAUGUGUUCAGAUGGUUGCCUCUGGGAAGGAAGAAAUGGUUGUUGGUGCUGAUCCUGGCGAAAUAAGGUAGAUGGGUUGACAUUCUGUGCACAAUCUUGGGGUUCAUGCUGUACUUCGCUGCCGCCUUGCUUGGGUCUUCGAAGACGGCCACUCCAAGGUGGAGCAAGAACUGAGACCAGGGCUGAUGUCAACAUAGUUGAUGUAGGAUUGUUAAGACCAGGUUCUGGCUCAGGGGUACUUUCAGAAUGAGGAGCAGGAAAAGAGUCUAAUGGCAAGACCUGGUUUACUACUUCUGAAUGGUGUGCAAAAAACUGGGAAUCAGUGCUUGCUUUUAGACCAUUGUCCACUUCAAAGGAGGUCAGAUUACUGUGGUACUGUGGAGUUGUUGCAGCAUUCUUUCUACAGUCGCUGGCUCCAGAUUCCUUGUUGAAUUCUGUUUGAACCUUACAAACAGGUUGAGUAGAAUGUCUUUGUGAGCCGUUGUAGACAAUUUGCGUUUGUUCAUGAAGGCCUAUGUUGUGUUGUAUUCCUGUAUUUUGUCCCUGUUUUGGUGUGUUAUGUCCAUGUUGAUGCAGAGUGGUAAAACUGUCUUCAUCAAAGCUUGCUUUUGGCCCAUCCCUAUUCUUAAAGAAUUCACCAGUUGAUUCACCACAUUGCUCAG